This 1252-nucleotide long non-coding RNA is filed under the name Bos taurus (domestic cattle). RNAcentral's name for it is "long non-coding RNA NONBTAT027583". Lineage: Eukaryota; Metazoa; Chordata; Mammalia; Artiodactyla; Bovidae. The record is from RNAcentral.
AGACAAUAGAAAAGAUGUCACAGAAGAAAACUACAGAAACUUGCAACAACAGAAUGCAACUUGGAAAAGUUACUAGUAAAUGAGAAGGGGGAAAAAAGAUAUUCCUGAUGUUACCAAGGAAUUUGUUAGUCCUGGUGUAGAAUAAUUUAUCAGUUCAGCAAAGUAUACCCUUUGCUGGUAUCUUUUGAACAGACAAUAGAUUAAUGAUUUAGUUAAUCUACUAAAUUAAUAGCUACUGAAAUCCUCCAAAGUCAAACAGUCAAGAAAGCAUUUCCCCAACAUUUGAGAUACAUGGGGAAUUGAAAUAAUAACUGUAGGAAGUUUUUUUUUUAUUAAAAAACACUACUUCAUACUGAAUAGGUCUAAUCUGGAUUUCAGCUUACAGAUGGUGCUUAUAAAUCUCAUAGAAAAAGGGUGACCAGAAAUCUGGACAUGGCACCACCCCUUACCAAACACACACUCCACCCUAGGACACAAGUGCAUCAGUGCCCUCACCAUGGGCAAGCACAGCAGCCUAGAAGUGACAAAAGUGAAAUGACUGGGCACUGGGACCCUGGAUCGACACUGAGCCCUUUCUGAAUCCUUGGUGGGGGAGCAGUGGGUUUAAGAUAAGAAACAUAAAAAAUUUUUUAAACUUUGGCAAGUAAGUAUAGAAAUGACUAUUUCUCGAUUGUCACUUUUAAAGGAAAUAUUCUACCUCAGGAAAAGAUUUUCUCCUAUCUUAUUUGACUUCUCUCUCAAAUAUUUGGAGGGCAAAUUCCUAUAAAAUAGAGGUGGACUAAAACCUCUUAUCGGUAAUAAUUAAUUAUUUGCCACCUUCUCUAUUUAUUUUUUAUUUUAUUUUUUAACUUUACAAUAUUGUAUUGGUUUUGCCAUAUAUCAAAAUGAAUCCACCACAGGUAUACAUGUGUUCUCUAUUUAAAAAGCAUAUAAAAUGUAGAGUCUAUCAUUAAUGACAAAUCCCCAAGACCUUGCUUGUAAUGGAAGUUUGGAAACGUAAUUAAUUUUUUAAAAACUGGGCCUCUAUGUAUUUAAUUCCUUUACAAUAAUCUAUAUAUCAGACUCCUGACAAAAUAAUACUACCUAAUGCAAAUUUCAUCACUCCUCUCAACCUUAACACCCUCACAGAGGUGUUAAAAUUAAUAGAGUCCUGACUACCCUGGUGGCUCAGACAGUAAAGCGUCUGCCUACAAUGCAGGAGACCUGGUUUCAAUCCCUGGGUAGGGAAGAUCCCCUGGAAAAGGAAAUGGCA